ACUCAAAGGAAUUGACGGGGGCCCGCACAAGCAGUGGAGUAUGUGGUUUAAUUCGAAGCAACGCGAAGAACCUUACCAGGGCUUGACAUGUAUCUGAAUUAUAUAGAGAUAUAUAAGUCUUCGGACAGAUAUACAGGUGGUGCAUGGUUGUCGUCAGCUCGUGUCGUGAGAUGUUGGGUUAAGUCCCGCAACGAGCGCAACCCCUGUUGUUAGUUGCUAACAAGUAAUGUUGAGAACUUUAACAAGACUGCCGGUGAUAAAUCGGAGGAAGGUGGGGACGACGUCAAAUCAUCAUGCCCUUUAUGUCCUGGGCUACACACGUACUACAAUGGCUAUUACAGAGUGAAGCGAAGCAGUGAUGCAGAGCGAAACACAAAAGGUAGUCUCAGUUCGGAUUGUAGGCUGAAAUUCGCCUACAUGAAGCCGGAAUUGCUAGUAAUUGCAGGUCAGCAUACUGCAGUGAAUACGUUCCCGGGCCUUGUACACACCGCCCGU
This 495-nucleotide ribosomal RNA is filed under the name uncultured bacterium. RNAcentral's name for it is "bacterial SSU rRNA". It matches the Rfam family "Bacterial small subunit ribosomal RNA", at positions 899 to 1397 of the family's 1533-position model. The record is from RNAcentral.